Molecule: ribosomal RNA, 427 nt
Filed under: uncultured prokaryote
Description: bacterial SSU rRNA
Rfam family: Bacterial small subunit ribosomal RNA
Source: RNAcentral
UGGGGAAUUUUGGACAAUGGGCGAAAGCCUGAUCCAGCCAUGCCGCGUGCAGGAUGAAGGCCUUCGGGUUGUAAACUGCUUUUGUACGGAACGAAAAGACUCCUUCUAAUAAAGGGGGUCCAUGACGGUACCGUAAGAAUAAGCACCGGCUAACUACGUGCCAGCAGCCGCGGUAAUACGUAGGGUGCAAGCGUUAAUCGGAAUUACUGGGCGUAAAGCGUGCGCAGGCGGUUAUAUAAGACAGAUGUGAAAUCCCCGGGCUCAACCUGGGAACUGCAUUUGUGACUGCAAGGCUAGAGUACGGCAGAGGGGGAUGGAAUUCCGCGUGUAGCAGUGAAAUGCGUAGAUAUGCGGAGGAACACCGAUGGCGAAGGCAAUCCCCUGGGCCUGUACUGACGCUCAUGCACGAAAGCGUGGGGAGCAAACA